AGAGUUUGAUCAUGGCUCAGGAUGAACGCUAGCUACAGGCUUAACACAUGCAAGUCGAGGGGAAACGAUAUUGGAAGCUUGCUUCCGAUAGGCGUCGACCGGCGCACGGGUGAGUAACGCGUAUCCAACCUGCCCAUCACUUGGGGAUAACCUUGCGAAAGUAAGACUAAUACCCAAUGACGUCUCUAGAAGACAUCUGAAGGAGAUUAAAGAUUUAUCGGUGAUGGAUGGGGAUGCGUCAGAUUAGCUUGUUGGCGGGGUAACGGCCCACCAAGGCUACGAUCAGUAGGGGUUCUGAGAGGAAGGUCCCCCACAUUGGAACUGAGACACGGUCCAAACUCCUACGGGAGGCAGCAGUGAGGAAUAUUGGUCAAUGGACGAGAGUCUGAACCAGCCAAGUAGCGUGCAGGAUGACGGCCCUAUGGGUUGUAAACUGCUUUUAUAAGGGAAUAAAGUGAGCCUCGUGAGGCUUUUUGCAUGUACCUUAUGAAUAAGGACCGGCUAAUUCCGUGCCAGCAGCCGCGGUAAUACGGAAGGUCCGGGCGUUAUCCGGAUUUAUUGGGUUUAAAGGGAGCGUAGGCCGGAGAUUAAGCGUGUUGUGAAAUGUAGACGCUCAACGUCUGCACUGCAGCGCGAACUGGUUUCCUUGAGUACGCACAAAGUGGGCGGAAUUCGUGGUGUAGCGGUGAAAUGCUUAGAUAUCACGAAGAACUCCGAUUGCGAAGGCAGCUCAUUGGAGCGCAACUGACGCUGAAGCUCGAAAGUGCGGGUAUCGAACAGGAUUAGAUACCCUGGUAGUCCGCACGGUAAACGAUGGAUGCCCGCUGUUGGUCUGAAUAGGUCAGCGGCCAAGCGAAAGCAUUAAGCAUCCCACCUGGGGAGUACGCCGGCAACGGUGAAACUCAAAGGAAUUGACGGGGGCCCGCACAAGCGGAGGAACAUGUGGUUUAAUUCGAUGAUACGCGAGGAACCUUACCCGGGCUUGAACGGCACCUGGAUCACCCAGAGAUGGGCGAGUCUUCGGACAGGUGUCGAGGUGCUGCAUGGUUGUCGUCAGCUCGUGCCGUGAGGUGUCGGCUCAAGUGCCAUAACGAGCGCAACCCUUGCCGCCAGUUGCCAUCAGGUGAUGCUGGGCACUCUGGCGGGACUGCCACCGCAAGGUGUGAGGAGGGGGGGGAUGACGUCAAAUCAGCACGGCCCUUACGUCCGGGGCGACACACGUGUUACAAUGGCGGCCACAGAGGGAAGCUACCCCGCGAGGGGAUGCGGAUCUCGAAAAGCCGUCCCAGUUCGGACUGGAGUCUGCAACCCGACUCCACGAAGUUGGAUUCGCUAGUAAUCGCGCAUCAGCCAUGGCGCGGUGAAUACGUUCCCGGGCCUUGUACACACCGCCCGUCAAGCCAUGGAAGCCGCGGGCGCCUGGAGUCCGUGACCGGAAGGAGCGGCCUAGGGCGAAAGUGGUAACUGGGGCUAAGUCGUAACAAGGUA
This 1488-nucleotide ribosomal RNA is filed under the name metagenome. RNAcentral describes it as "bacterial SSU rRNA". It matches the Rfam family "Bacterial small subunit ribosomal RNA". The record is from RNAcentral.